This 484-nucleotide ribosomal RNA is filed under the name uncultured bacterium. RNAcentral describes it as "partial 16S ribosomal RNA". It matches the Rfam family "Bacterial small subunit ribosomal RNA", at positions 29 to 507 of the family's 1533-position model. The record is from RNAcentral.
AUUGAACGCUGGCGGCAUGCUUUACACAUGCAAGUCGAACGGCAGCGCGGGCUUCGGCCUUGCGGCGAGUGGCGGACGGGUGAGUAAUGCCUCGGAACGUGCCCAGUAGUGGGGGAUAGCCCGGCGAAAGGCGGAUUAAUACCGCAUACGACCUGAGGGAGAAAGCGGGGGACCGAAAGACCUCGCGCUAUUGGAGCAGCCGAUGUCGGAUUAGCUAGUUGGUGGGGUAAAGGCCUACCAAGGCGACGAUCCGUAGCUGGUCUGAGAGGACGAUCAGUCACACUGGAACCGAGACACGGUCCAGACUCCUACGGGAGGCAGCAGUGGGGAAUUUUGGACAAUGGGCGCAAGCCUGAUCCAGCCAUGCCGCGUGUGUGAAGAAGGUCUUCGGAUUGUAAAGCCCCUUUGGUUGGGAAGAAGGUCAGUAGGCUAAUACCUCGGUGGGAUGACGGUACCAAAAGAAUAAGCACCGGCUAACUUCGUG